CGCGACGAUGAAAUGAAACAAAAAAAAAACUGAUACAAACCCCUGAAACACGGUAUUUCUCCCAUUUCAUUUUCUCCAUCGACUCCGCCUCUCCACGACUUCCCCCAUCGCCUCAGCUCUUACUCUCUUCUCUAUCCUUCUUCCACCGCCGACUAACGGUGCUCAGCUCUCACUAUCAUGACUCUCUGCCUUCCACCGUGACCGCUAGCACCUCUCAAUCUAGUUGCUAGCAUCCCAGGAUACAAAUUGAAAUAUUUCUCUAAGGUAAAGACUCUUCAAAUUAAUACCCGCCCCUGUUUUGAACUGAUUUAUUUGUUUCCCUUUCUGUGAGUGUACUAUUUGAAGAAAGCAUGCAUCGACAUGAUGCUUAAGCUGGCAAGAAACACAGGCUCUAGAAUUAAUCUUUUAGGUUCGAAAAGAAUCCCGUUUGAUAAAUUCCAAAUAGGUAUUCAAGAACUGAAUUUGAGAACAGAUUGGUGCUUGAGAUUUACAAAAAUAUGGUGGCUUCUAACAGAUAAAAAUGAAAUGAUUAUUAGGUUUUCUUUUCUUUUCUUUUUUUCCCCUUUGUUGUUGUUUAUGCAUGUUUAGAUUUGAGAAACUCUUACUGUCUUCAACUAUAAACAAGUUCAAAUACUUAUUUAAAUAGUAUUUAGUUGUAGGAGUUUCGAGGUUACAGAACAGAAGUAUGGUACAUCAAUUCAAAUGCUGGGCUCAUCAGUCCUUAAUAAAAUUAUUAAUGAUUUCAAGAAUGAUGGAAAAGGAAUGGAAAUCAAACAAAUAAUUGACAAGUACAGAGAAUUGAGUGAAAAAAACCAUUGAUUACUGUUGACACAUAAUUCAGCCCAAAUCGAACGGCCCAAGGAAUGAAGUCCAAUUAGAGGAUCCCCAAAUCAGAUAGCCCAAAGAACGAAGCCCAAUCAGACAAUUCAGGAUGAAGGCUCAAAUAGUGAGGCCCAUGAACGCGGUAACACCAUCGCCCAAACUUGCAAGUCGCCCAGGAUCUGAGCGAAUGGAGUGCCAUGCAGUCGCCCAGAGCUGCUACUCUAUUCUCGCCCA
This 1056-nucleotide long non-coding RNA is filed under the name Olea europaea subsp. europaea. Lineage: Eukaryota; Viridiplantae; Streptophyta; Magnoliopsida; Lamiales; Oleaceae. The record is from RNAcentral.